AACGAACGCUGGCGGCAGGCCUAACACAUGCAAGUCGAGCGAGGACUUCGGUUCUAGCGGCGGACGUGUGAGUCACGCGUGGGAAUGUGCCCUUCUCUCCGGAACAGCCCUGGGAAACCGGGUGUAAUACCGUAUACGCCCUAUUGGUGCAAGAUUCAUCGGAGAAGGAUCAGCCCGCGUUGGAUUAGGUAGUUGGUGGUGUAAUGGCCUACCCACCCGACGACCCUUAGCUGGUUUGAGAGGAUGCUCAGCCACACUGGUACUGAGACACGGCCCAGACUCCUACGGGAGGCAGCCGUAGGGACUCUUAGCCAAUGCAGGCAACCCUGAUCUAGCCAUGCCGCGUGAGUGAUGAAGGCCUUAGGGUUGUAAAGCUCUUUCAGCUGGGAAGAUAAUGACGGUACCAGCAGAAGAAGCCCCGGCUAACCCCGUG
This 433-nucleotide ribosomal RNA is filed under the name uncultured bacterium. RNAcentral describes it as "partial 16S ribosomal RNA". It matches the Rfam family "Bacterial small subunit ribosomal RNA", at positions 29 to 507 of the family's 1533-position model. The record is from RNAcentral.